Molecule: long non-coding RNA, 449 nt
Organism: Canis lupus familiaris (dog)
Lineage: Eukaryota; Metazoa; Chordata; Mammalia; Carnivora; Canidae
Exons: 2
Source: RefSeq, a predicted model, not a curated record
UUUCCUUAUGAAUUUGUAAUAUUAUUUUGGAUGAGUAAAUGGAAAGGGAAACAGAAAAAUAAGCUUACCUAAAAAUAUCUGCUGUAUAACAAUGGGCAGUGUAAGGGGUAAUAAUAGAAAGCUAUUAACCUUAGAGUUACAAGAAACUCCCAAUUAUUUCAGAGGAGUUUUACCUGCAUGAAGAAGGAAAACUGGUCUCAUGGUUCAGGGUCUAUGAAUAAUGUGGUCAAAGUAAGAAGGACAGACCCUGUACGACCUGGCAGGUUGGAAAAACCAGCACUGGAUAUCCUGUACUAAUGGGAAGCCUUUACACGACAGUCACAUCCUGAAUAAGAGUGAGGUACUGUGGACUUGUCCAGAUCCUGCAGCUUUAGCUUUUUUUACAUUUGCCUGGGACCCUUGUAUGCCUUAUUAUAAUCUGCUUUCAGUAUUAAAGCUCUGUUCUAGGA